AUUGAACGCUGGCGGCAGGCCUAACACAUGCAAGUCGAGCGGUAGCACAGAGAGCUUGCUCUCGGGUGACGAGCGGCGGACGGGUGAGUAAUGUUUGGGAAACUGCCUGAUGGAGGGGGAUAACUACUGGAAACGGUAGCUAAUACCGCAUAACGUCGCAAGACCAAAGUGGGGGACCUUCGGGCCUCAUGCCAUCAGAUGUGCCCCGAUGGGAUUAGCUAGUAGGUGGGGUAACGGCUCACCUAGGCGACGAUCCCUAGCUGGUUUGAGAGGAUGACCCGCCCCCCUGGAACUGAGACACGGUCCCGACUCCUUCGGGAGGCAGCAGUGGGGAAUAUUGCCCAAUGGGCGCAAGCCUGAUGCAGCCCUGCCGCGUGUAUGAAGAAGGCCUUCGGGUUGUAAAGUACUUUCAGCGGGGAGGAAGGCGAUAAGGUUAAUAACCUUGUCGAUUGACGUUACCCGCAGAAGAAGCCCCGGCUAACUCCGUG
This 488-nucleotide ribosomal RNA is filed under the name uncultured bacterium. RNAcentral's name for it is "bacterial SSU rRNA". It matches the Rfam family "Bacterial small subunit ribosomal RNA", at positions 30 to 507 of the family's 1533-position model. The record is from RNAcentral.